CCUACGGGUGGCAGCAGUGGGGAAUAUUGCACAAUGGGGGAAACCCUGAUGCAGCGACGCCGCGUGAGUGAAGAAGUAUUUCGGUACGUAAAGCUCUAUCAGCAGGGAAGAAAAUGACGGUACCUGACUAAGAAGCACCGGCUAACUACGUGCCAGCAGCCGCGGUAAUACGUAGGGGGCAAGCGUUAUCCGGAUUUACUGGGUGUAAAGGGAGCGUAGACGGCAGCGCAAGUCUGGAGUGAAAGCCCAUGGCUUAACCAUGGAACUGCUUUGGAAACUGUGCAGCUAGAGUGCAGGAGAGGUAAGCGGAAUUCCUAGUGUAGCGGUGAAAUGCGUAGAUAUUAGGAGGAACACCAGUGGCGAAGGCGGCUUACUGGACUGUAACUGACGUUGAGGCUCGAAAGCGUGGGGAGCAAACAGGAUUAGAUACCCGGGUAGUC
This 440-nucleotide ribosomal RNA is filed under the name uncultured bacterium. Its description in RNAcentral is "partial 16S ribosomal RNA". It matches the Rfam family "Bacterial small subunit ribosomal RNA", at positions 338 to 795 of the family's 1533-position model. The record is from RNAcentral.